This 29-nucleotide transfer RNA is filed under the name Xiphophorus hellerii (green swordtail). Its description in RNAcentral is "partial tRNA-Thr". The record is from RNAcentral. Lineage: Eukaryota; Metazoa; Chordata; Actinopteri; Cyprinodontiformes; Poeciliidae. RNAcentral also lists the same sequence under 16 other names.
GCACUAGUAGCUCAGCUUUCAGAGCGUCG